AUCAGAAGGACCCGGACGCAGCCCUUGACUCUAGGAAAGUACACAUCUCCGUUGUUAACUCAAUCUGCUGGAGUGGCGCCUGAUGCUUGAGAUGUUCAGGGGUGGAUGCGGAAAGAAGAGGAUUUACCCCGGCUUGUCACUGACUUCUGCCUCAGGUCACAUGAAUGAGUAGAAACUAGUUUAUGGCGGAAUGAACGGAUGUGGUUAAAUACACCUGCACGCUUCCCCCAACCCUGCCAACAGCAUGCUGGAACACCACACGUGGUCAGGAAGCAUGUGGACCUCCAGGAUGAGAUGGUUGGAUGGCAUCACUGACUCAAUGGACAUGAGUUUGCACAAACUCUGGAAGAUGGUGAAGGAUGGCAGAGCCUGGCGUGCUGUAGUCCAUGGGUUCGCAGAAAGUGAGAUGCCGCUGAGUGACGGAACCACAGUAACAAACCCGAUAGACCAUAGUGGGAUCAACGCUGCCUUCCUUAGUCCUCGUUCAGUGAAACGCAGUGAGUCAUGA
Molecule: long non-coding RNA, 508 nt
Filed under: Capra hircus (goat)
Lineage: Eukaryota; Metazoa; Chordata; Mammalia; Artiodactyla; Bovidae
Description: lncRNA (ENSCHIG00000004973.1)
Source: RNAcentral